Mytilus californianus (California mussel) is the source of this 558-nucleotide long non-coding RNA. RefSeq lists it as uncharacterized. The record is from RefSeq and is a predicted model, not a curated record. NCBI's taxonomy places the organism in Eukaryota, Metazoa, Mollusca, Bivalvia, Mytilida, Mytilidae. The transcript is spliced from 2 exons.
CUUACAGGGGUAAAUUCAGUAAAUAAAUAUACGUCAUCAGGGACCGCCCAUUUGGGGGAGAGCUUUCUGUAUAAAACUGAAGUCAUGUGCUCUUCUGAUUGGUAGAUAAUGUUUGUAAUAAAUAUUUUUUGAUAGAUGGAUAAAAACUAGAGUUGAAAAAAAAUAAAAAAUAAAUGCUGAAUGUACUAAAUUUUUUUACUACAGGGUUGAAAAGUAAUGGGGGUCAGUGAAGGAAUUAAGUGCGAAUCUACAGUGUUUGUAAACAAGGCCAUGUGAAUGCCCAAAAAUGCCGCAUGACCCUAUGUUUUUAUUGUUGCAAAUGAUAGGGCUACAUUUGUACUUUCAUGAAUGAUAUAUGAAAUUUUCUAAUUUCUAAAGUUUUGUCUGUCUAGUUUUGGUGAAGAAACCAUCCUGAUGUUGGGGUAACAGGAAUUUCUGCAGAGUGAUUGUCAAUGACAUUUUGUGAACUUUACAAGUAAUUAAAACACAAAUUUAGUAAAAUGAAACAUAAUUGUUGGUUUUUUUUGUAUGAAACUGCUUAAAAAAGCCUUUGAAAAG